CAGUCGCCGCGGGAAUACGUAGGUGGCAAGCGUUGUCCGGAAUUAUUGGGCGUAAAGCGGGCGCAGACGGUUACUUAAGCAGGAUGUGAAAUCCCCGGGCUCAACCUGGGAACUGCGUUCUGAACUGGGUAACUAGAGUGUGUCAGAGGGAGGUAGAAUUCCACGUGUAGCAGUGAAAUGCGUAGAGAUGUGGAGGAAUACCGAUGGCGAAGGCAGCCUCCUGGGAUAACACUGACGUUCAUGCCCGAAAGCGUGGGUAGCAAACAGGAUUAGAUACCCGAGUGGUCCCUGUCUCUUAUAC
RNAcentral lists this ribosomal RNA (301 nucleotides) under uncultured bacterium. Its description in RNAcentral is "partial 16S ribosomal RNA". It matches the Rfam family "Bacterial small subunit ribosomal RNA", at positions 509 to 807 of the family's 1533-position model. The record is from RNAcentral.